This 224-nucleotide unclassified non-coding RNA is filed under the name uncultured Basidiomycota. RNAcentral's name for it is "sequence contains ITS2". Lineage: Eukaryota; Fungi; Basidiomycota. The record is from RNAcentral.
AAUUCUCAAACCCCCUAUUUCGUAAAUGAAAAUAGGCUCUGUGGGCUUGGAUUAUGGCUGCUUGUUGGCUCGUCACGAGUCGGCUCGGCUGAAAUACACGAGCCAAACCCCUACUGAAAUGACUGACGGCUUGACUCGGCGUAAUAACAUAUUUCGCUGAGAACGUCCACUGAACGUUUCAGAUCAUUUGGGAGGGGCUUCUAACGCAAUUAUCCAUCUUAAGC